Molecule: ribosomal RNA, 712 nt
Filed under: Streptomyces coelicolor
Lineage: Bacteria; Bacillati; Actinomycetota; Actinomycetes; Kitasatosporales; Streptomycetaceae
Description: bacterial SSU rRNA
Rfam family: Bacterial small subunit ribosomal RNA
Source: RNAcentral
AUCUGCCCUGCACUCUGGGACAAGCCCUGGAAACGGGGUCUAAUACCGGAUACGACACAGGAAGGCAUCUUCUCUGUGUGGAAAGCUCCGGCGGUGCAGGAUGAGCCCGCGGCCUAUCAGCUUGUUGGUGGGGUGAUGGCCUACCAAGGCGACGACGGGUAGCCGGCCUGAGAGGGCGACCGGCCACACUGGGACUGAGACACGGCCCAGACUCCUACGGGAGGCAGCAGUGGGGAAUAUUGCACAAUGGGCGAAAGCCUGAUGCAGCGACGCCGCGUGAGGGAUGACGGCCUUCGGGUUGUAAACCUCUUUCAGCAGGGAAGAAGCGCAAGUGACGGUACCUGCAGAAGAAGCACCGGCUAACUACGUGCCAGCAGCCGCGGUAAUACGUAGGGUGCGAGCGUUGUCCGGAAUUAUUGGGCGUAAAGAGCUCGUAGGCGGCUUGUCACGUCGGAUGUGAAAGCCCGGGGCUUAACCCCGGGUCUGCAUUCGAUACGGGCAGGCUAGAGUUCGGUAGGGGAGAUCGGAAUUCCUGGUGUAGCGGUGAAAUGCGCAGAUAUCAGGAGGAACACCGGUGGCGAAGGCGGAUCUCUGGGCCGAUACUGACGCUGAGGAGCGAAAGCGUGGGGAGCGAACAGGAUUAGAUACCCUGGUAGUCCACGCCGUAAACGUUGGGAACUAGGUGUGGGCGACAUUCCACGUCGUCCGUGCC